Molecule: ribosomal RNA, 504 nt
Filed under: uncultured bacterium
Lineage: Bacteria
Description: partial 16S ribosomal RNA
Rfam family: Bacterial small subunit ribosomal RNA
Source: RNAcentral
AGUGAACGCUGGCGGUAGGCCUAACACAUGCAAGUCGAACGGCAGCACAGAGGAGCUUGCUCCUUGGGUGGCGAGUGGCGGACGGGUGAGGAAUACAUCGGAAUCUACUCUGUCGUGGGGGAUAACGUAGGGAAACUUACGCUAAUACCGCAUACGACCUACGGGUGAAAGCAGGGAUCUUCGGACCUUGCGCGAUUGAAUGAGCCGAUGUCGGAUUAGCUAGUUGGCGGGGUAAAGGCCCACCAAGGCGACGAUCCGUAGCUGGUCUGAGAGGAUGAUCAGCCACACUGGAACUGAGACACGGUCCAGACUCCUACGGGAGGCAGCAGUGGGGAAUAUUGGACAAUGGGCGCAAGCCUGAUCCAGCCAUACCGCGUGGGUGAAGAAGGCCUUCGGGUUGUAAAGCCCUUUUGUUGGAAAGAAAUCCAUCUGGUUAAUACCCGGGUGGGAUGACGGUACCCAAAGAAUAAGCACCGGCUAACUUCGUGCCAGCAGCCGCCGUAA